UACGGAAGGCAGCAGUGGGGAAUAUUGCACAAUGGGCGAAAGCCUGAUGCAGCUAUGCCGCGUGUAUGAAGAAGGCCUUAGGGUUGUAAAGUACUUUCAUCGGGGAGGAAAAAACAAAACUAAUAAUUUUAUUUCUUGACGUUACCCGAAAAAGAAGCACCGGCUAACUCCGUGCCAGCAGCCGCGGUAAUACGGAGGGUGCUAGCGUUAAUCAGAAUUACUGGGCGUAAAGAGCACGUAGGUGGUUUUUUUAAGUCAGAUGUGAAAUCCCUGGGCUUAACCUAGGAACUGCAUUUUGAAACUGAAAUACUAGAGUAUCGUAGAGGGAGGUAGAAUUCUAGGUGUAGCGGUGAAAUGCGUAGAUAUCUGGAGGAAUACCUGUGGCGAAAGCGGCCUCCUAAACGAAUACUGACACUGAGUGCGAAAGCGUGGGGAGCAAACAGGGAUUAGGAAUACC
Molecule: ribosomal RNA, 457 nt
Filed under: uncultured bacterium
Lineage: Bacteria
Description: bacterial SSU rRNA
Rfam family: Bacterial small subunit ribosomal RNA
Source: RNAcentral